AUCAAGCACCAGGCCGUGGCACUGCGUGUGCAAUCUGACUUUUCCAUCUUCUAUAACUGCCAUAUGGACGCGUACCAAGACACCCUCUACACCCAAACCUACCGGCAAUACUACCGGGACUGCACCAUCACCGGGACCGUAGACUUCAUCUUCGGGGAUGGCGUGGCGCUGUUCCAAAACUGCAAGAUGCUGGUGAGAAAGCCAGGGGAUUCACAGUCUUGCAUGGUGACAGCCCAAGGCAGGACCGACAAGAACGAGAUCACAGCCAUAGUCCUCCAAAACUGCACCAUCACUGGUGAGCCAGAGUACAUGGCUGUAAAGGACAAGAACAAGGCUUACUUGGGAAGGCCAUGGAAGGACUUUGCAAGGGUGGUGGUGAUGAACUCACAGAUUGAUGAGGCCAUUCAGCCUGAAGGGUGGAUAGAAUGGGCUGGUUCCCAGUUUCACAACACUUGCUUUCUUGGUGAGUACGGCAACAGGGGUCCUAGGGCUGACAUGGCCCAAAGGGUCAAAUGGCCAAGCCUCAAGAAGCUUACUGCCGACCAAGCUGCCACUUUCACCCCUGCCAAGCUCUUUGAGGGUGAUCGGUGGAUCAAGCCCAGCGGAGUUCCUUAUGUUUCUGGCAUGGUGUCUGCGUAGAUCACAAAUGAAAAUCUUAAAACAAUUCUAUUUUGGUCUGAAGAAAAAAAAUAUCACUUCACAGGUUGAUUGAUUUUGUAUCUUGUGAUCUUGUGGAAUUCUAUUCCCUUUCAUUUUUCCUACACAUGCAUACCCAUUGAAUGAUGAUAGAGAUUUUUUAAUACAAAAAUGUUAGUCAUAUCACAUUUAUAUACUACCUUUUUAAAAAAAUGAGCCUCAUUGUAUUGGUGGGUUUCACCUCUAUUAGAAAGGUUGUAUGUAAAUGUGGUAUGCCUAGCGUUGCUCUUUUGAAUAUAAUGGUGAUCAAGGUAGUGUGG
RNAcentral lists this long non-coding RNA (956 nucleotides) under Prunus persica (peach). Its description in RNAcentral is "long non-coding RNA (PPER_LNC000372)". The record is from RNAcentral. Lineage: Eukaryota; Viridiplantae; Streptophyta; Magnoliopsida; Rosales; Rosaceae.